AUUGAACGCUAGCGGGAUGCCUUACACAUGCAAGUCGAACGGCAGCGCGGACUUCGGUCUGGCGGCGAGUGGCGAACGGGUGAGUAAUGUAUCGGAACGUGCCCAGUAGCGGGGGAUAACUACUCGAAAGAGUAGCUAAUACCGCAUACGCCCUACGGGGGAAAGGGGGGGAUCGCAAGACCUCUCACUAUUGGAGCGGCCGAUAUCGGAUUAGCUAGUUGGUGAGGUAAAGGCUCACCAAGGCGACGAUCCGUAGCUGGUUUGAGAGGACGACCAGCCACACUGGGACUGAGACACGGCCCAGACUCCUACGGGAGGCAGCAGUGGGGAAUUUUGGACAAUGGGGGCAACCCUGAUCCAGCCAUUCCGCGUGUGCGAUGAAGGCCUUCGGGUUGUAAAGCUCUUUUGUCAGGGAAGAAACACCGGCUCUAACACAGUCCGGGAAUGACGGUACCUGAAGAAUAAGCACCGGCUAACUACGUGCCAGCCGCCGCGGUAA
RNAcentral lists this ribosomal RNA (499 nucleotides) under uncultured bacterium. Its description in RNAcentral is "partial 16S ribosomal RNA". It matches the Rfam family "Bacterial small subunit ribosomal RNA", at positions 30 to 523 of the family's 1533-position model. The record is from RNAcentral.